This 743-nucleotide long non-coding RNA is filed under the name Ictidomys tridecemlineatus (thirteen-lined ground squirrel). Its description in RNAcentral is "lncRNA (ENSSTOG00000032318.1)". The record is from RNAcentral. Lineage: Eukaryota; Metazoa; Chordata; Mammalia; Rodentia; Sciuridae.
GGGAGCUCUGAGGGACGAAGGGGACACCUAUCUCACCAGCCGGGCUCCCUGAGGCAACCCUGGUGAUCAAGGAGGUGACCGAUGCCACAGUCAGACCACCCUCACACCCACAGGGAAUUUUGACUUCAAAGUCAGCUGGCUAUGCUUCCUUUUCCACUCACAGCCAAGGCCAGGUCGCCAGGCAGUUUGGCUCAACCUGCUGGGACGGACUCUUCUCACUACAUUAAGUCUCUAGUCUGUGAAGCUGACGUCUUCCCUGGUGCUUGGAUUUCUUGCUCUCGGCCAGAGGUGUAGCCAGACCUGCUGUUGGAGGGAAGGGAAGCUGGGUCCUAGGGUCAGUGGUCCUGGAGACCAGCUCUGCCGCAGAACAGCUGUAGGCACCCAAACACCUCGGCAGGAUUGAGGCCCAACCCAAACCUCACUUUCUGGACUGUCCUAGCUCCAGCUGCCCUGCUCAGGUCCUCAGAUGUCCAGAGAGGAGAGCCAGGACCAACCGGUGUUCAUGCCAGUAAAUGGCCGGGUUUCUCCAAGGCAGUGAGAUUAUCCAAAGCAGUGCUCACACGCUUGCCAAUGUGAGGCACGUUCGCAGGUUGUCCUGGUCCAGCGCAGUGGUGUGGGUGAUGUGCAGAGAGCGCCACUGGCUGAGACAUACUGCAAAAGGCCGUUCCUGGGGGUGACAGGGCUGUAGAUGACGGGCAGUGGAUACAGAACUGCCAAAACAUUAAGAAUGAAUUUAUUCUCCA